RNAcentral lists this unclassified non-coding RNA (320 nucleotides) under Athalia rosae (coleseed sawfly). RNAcentral describes it as "misc RNA ENSAEAG00005002571.1". Lineage: Eukaryota; Metazoa; Arthropoda; Insecta; Hymenoptera; Athaliidae. The record is from RNAcentral.
GAUGAGGCGUUUCGAGAAUCUAGCAGAUCGUCGAAUGAGAUGUCUGAUGUGUGACCGAGUUCUGAUGAAACUUCUUCCAGCAGCUGCCUUGACGUAGAGUGCCAUAUGGCUAGCGGAAAUCCGCCCGCAUGGCAGAGUUGUAUGAGUUGUCGAGCUGUUUGAGUGAGCUCGUCCACCGUAUCUGACCCUCCGAAGAUGUCGUCAACGUAUCGACCGUGAGUGAUCGGUUCCACAGCGAGGGGGUACCUUGAGCCUUCGUCCUCAGCAAGCUGAAGCAGCGUCCUUACAGCUGAGAACGGAGCUACUUUGGUUCCGUACGU